RNAcentral lists this ribosomal RNA (491 nucleotides) under uncultured bacterium. Its description in RNAcentral is "partial 16S ribosomal RNA". It matches the Rfam family "Bacterial small subunit ribosomal RNA", at positions 29 to 506 of the family's 1533-position model. The record is from RNAcentral.
AGUGAACGCUGGCGGUAGGCCUAACACAUGCAAGUCGAACGGCAGCACAGUAAGAGCUUGCUCUUACGGGUGGCGAGUGGCGGACGGGUGAGGAAUACAUCGGAAUCUACUUUUUCGUGGGGGAUAACGUAGGGAAACUUACGCUAAUACCGCAUACGACCUACGGGUGAAAGCAGGGGAUCUUCGGACCUUGCGCGAUUGAAUGAGCCGAUGUCGGAUUAGCUAGUUGGCGGGGUAAAGGCCCACCAAGGCGACGAUCCGUAGCUGGUCUGAGAGGAUGAUCAGCCACACUGAAACUGAGACACGGUCCAGACUCCUACGGGAGGCAGCAGUGGGGAAUAUUGGACAAUGGGCGCAAGCCUGAUCCAGCCAUACCGCGUGGGUGAAGAAGGCCUUCGGGUGGUAAAGCCCUUUUGUUGGGAAAGAAAAGCAGCAGGUUAAUACCCCGCUGUUCUGACGGUACCCAAAGAAUAAGCACCGGCUAACUUCGU